This is a long non-coding RNA of Gopherus flavomarginatus (Mexican gopher tortoise), 546 nucleotides long. RefSeq lists it as uncharacterized. The transcript has 4 exons. The record is from RefSeq and is a predicted model, not a curated record. Lineage: Eukaryota; Metazoa; Chordata; Testudines; Testudinidae.
CCGGCCCUGGUCGGAAGCCAGAGAGGGACAAAGGAUUCCCGCCUUAUGUAAAAAUAUAUAUAAGUGGGUGAAAAAAGAACAAAGGGGCGGUCAUCAUGAGAAAUCCCCUAGCUACCACCUGAGCUGGAACAAGGGCUACACCAGGAUAAAGGAUUGUGCCCAGACUAGGAAGGCAUCCAGUCUGUGAAAGAAACUUAUUGAAACAUCUUUGAGGGAUUGAGACUGAUUCACCUCCCACCAAUUCCUGGUGAGCCCAGAUUCAAAAAACCUUUGGAUCCUAAAACAAGGAAAAAUCAAUCAGAAUAAUCUCUAUCUUACCUGGAUUCAGCUUCAAUCAAAGACAGAGCUUAUUCCAAAGACAGAGCUUAUCCAAGCACUGGGACAUCUUGGUGGUAGUGAUUUGGCCAUAUGUGUUCAUGGAUCAAUAGAGCUGUGUGCCAUCUCUAUACUGCUAUAACUUCUCAAAAGGUAGAAGGCCAGAGAUCUAUGGAUGUCGAGAGUGUGAAGGGAUGCCUCCCUGGCGUCAGCGUGGGGUUUCGGAAAAAA